UCGAGCGAUCGACGGGAGCUUGCUCCCUGAGAUUAGCGGCGGACGGGUGAGUAACACGUGGGCAACCUGCCUAUAAGACUGGGAUAACUUCGGGAAACCGGAGCUAAUACCGGAUWYKUUYUUUUCUCGCAUGARAGAAGAUGGAAAGACGGUUUACGCUGUCACUUAUAGAUGGGCCCGCGGCGCAUUAGCUAGUUGGUGAGGUAAUGGCUCACCAAGGCGACGAUGCGUAGCCGACCUGAGAGGGUGAUCGGCCACACUGGGACUGAGACACGGCCCARACUCCUACGGGAGGCAGCAGUAGGGAAUCUUCCGCAAUGGACGAAAGUCUGACGGAGCAMCGCCGCGUGAACGAAGAAGGCCUUCGGGUCGUAAAGUUCUGUUGUUAGGGAAGAACAAGUACCAGAGUAACUGCUGGUACCUUGACGGUACCUAACCAGAAAGCCACGGCUAACUACGUGCCAGCAGCCGCGGUAAUACGUAGGUGGCAAGCGUUGUCCGGAAUUAUUGGGCGUAAAGCGCGCGCAGGUGGUUCCUUAAGUCUGAUGUGAAAGCCCACGGCUCAACCGUGGAGGGUCAUUGGAAACUGGGGAACUUGAGUGCAGAAGAGGAAAGUGGAAUUCCAAGUGUAGCGGUGAAAUGCGUAGAGAUUUGGAGGAACACCAGUGGCGAAGGCGACUUUCUGGUCUGUAACUGACACUGAGGCGCGAAAGCGUGGGGAGCAAACAGGAUUAGAUACCCUGGUAGUCCACGCCGUAA
RNAcentral lists this ribosomal RNA (759 nucleotides) under Peribacillus simplex KBS1F-3. Its description in RNAcentral is "bacterial SSU rRNA". It matches the Rfam family "Bacterial small subunit ribosomal RNA", at positions 62 to 805 of the family's 1533-position model. Lineage: Bacteria; Bacillati; Bacillota; Bacilli; Caryophanales; Bacillaceae. The record is from RNAcentral.